CUACGGGGGGCUCCAGUCGAGAAUCUUCCGCAAUGGGCGCAAGCCUGACGGAGCAAUGCCGCGUGAGGGAUGACGGCCCUAGGGUUGUAAACCUCUGUCAGAAGGGACGAAGAACGUGACGGUACCUUCAGAGGAAGCCAUGGCUAACUACGUGCCAGCAGCCGCGGUAAUACGUAGAUGGCGAGCGUUAUUCGGAUUUACUGGGCGUAAGGGGUCCGUAGGGGGUCUGCCAAGUCUGAUGUGAAAUCCUGCGGCUCAACCGCGGAACUGCAUUGGAAACUGGCGGACUAGAGUGUGCGAGGGGUGAGCGGAAUUCCUGGUGUAGCGGUGGAAUGCGUAGAUAUCAGGAAGAACACCGAUGGCGAAGGCGGCUCACUGGCGCAUCACUGACCCUGAGGGACGAAAGCGUGGGUAGCAAACAGGAUUAGAUACCCCUGUAGUC
Molecule: ribosomal RNA, 442 nt
Filed under: uncultured bacterium
Lineage: Bacteria
Description: partial 16S ribosomal RNA
Rfam family: Bacterial small subunit ribosomal RNA
Source: RNAcentral